This is a non-coding RNA of Acanthosepion pharaonis, 108 nucleotides long. The record is from the annotation of a GenBank genome assembly. Lineage: Eukaryota; Metazoa; Mollusca; Cephalopoda; Sepiida; Sepiidae.
GGCUACAUCAUGUUGAAACACAGGAUCCCAUAUGAUAUGAAGUUAAGCAACAUCAACUCUGGUCAGUACUUUGAUGGGUGACUGCUUGGGAAUACCAGGUGCUGUAAG